Molecule: ribosomal RNA, 468 nt
Filed under: uncultured bacterium
Lineage: Bacteria
Description: partial 16S ribosomal RNA
Rfam family: Bacterial small subunit ribosomal RNA
Source: RNAcentral
GACGAACGCUGGCGGCGUGCUUAACACAUGCAAGUCGAACGGAAAGGCCCUGCUUUUGUGGGGUGCUCGAGUGGCGAACGGGUGAGUAACACGUGAGUAACCUGCCCUUGACUUUGGGAUAACUUCAGGAAACUGGGGCUAAUACCGGAUAGGAGCUCCUGCUGCAUGGUGGGGGUUGGAAAGUUUCGGCGGUUGGGGAUGGACUCGCGGCUUAUGAGCUUGUUGGUGGGGUAGUGGCUGACCAAGGCUGUGACGGGUAGGCGGCCUGAGAGCGGGACCAGCGUCCAGGGUCCUACGAGACGGAGCAGAAGGGUAUCGUAGGCAGCGGGCGGAAGUCUGACAGAGCGGCCGCGAGCGUGUGAUGGAGGUGCUCGGAGCGGGAUGACGGGUUACGGGUGAUAAACAGCUUUGGACUUUGCCGAGGCGGUAUUGACGGUACUGGAUAAGAAAGCAACGGCUAACUACGUG